CCCCAGUGAGACCAACUACCAAUAGCUCCACUAAAUGUUUGACCUCUCCUUUGACCCCCAGUACAGCGGUGAAUCCUUCAUCAGGUUCAACUGUUAAUUCUUCUCAGACCACUGACACUCCAAGUAAAGGUCAAAGCUCCACAGACAUUGUCGUGAAUUCAAACAGUCCAGAAAGCGUUCCAGAUUUUAUUGUUACUUCUACUUUGACCCCUGGCAUCACAGUGAGACCAACUACAAGU
Salvelinus sp. IW2-2015 is the source of this 239-nucleotide long non-coding RNA. RefSeq lists it as uncharacterized. NCBI's taxonomy places the organism in Eukaryota, Metazoa, Chordata, Actinopteri, Salmoniformes, Salmonidae. The record is from RefSeq and is a predicted model, not a curated record.